Thunnus maccoyii (southern bluefin tuna) is the source of this 6529-nucleotide long non-coding RNA. RefSeq lists it as uncharacterized. The record is from RefSeq and is a predicted model, not a curated record. Lineage: Eukaryota; Metazoa; Chordata; Actinopteri; Scombriformes; Scombridae. The transcript is spliced from 3 exons.
AUUUUCCACCAUUUUAUAUCACAGUAAACUGAAAAUCUUUGGGUUGGUCUGACAGAACAAGACAUCUGAAGAUGUCACUGUGAGCUUUAGACCAAACAAAUCUAUUGAUCAAAAACAUACUUUAAAAAAAACUAUUAUAUUAAUAGAUAAUGAAACCGUAACGGAAACUUGAUCUUGUUUUACUGUGAACUUCUUAUUCUCCCUUUUGAAACUUUUAUACCAUAUUUUGAUUAUAAGUAAACUAGAGAAAAUCUUUCUCUGCAUCCAAACCUUUUCCCGAUUUUACAACUAAGACACACGAUAUUAAAUAAAACACUUAAGAAUUACAAUAAAAUUAGGGCUCCAACUAACCAUUAUUUUUAUUGUCGAUCAAUGUGCUGAUAAGUUCUUUAAAAUUAUAGAUUAUUAUUGAAAAUAUUUUUAAAAUGUCCAAAACCCAAACAUUCAGUUUACAAUGAUGUAAAACAGAAAAGCAGAAAAUCCCAACAUACGAGAAGAUAGAACUCGGGAUUGUUUGGUGUUUUUGCUUUAAAAAAACUCAAAAUUGUUUCCAAUUAAUUUUCUAUUGAUCUACUAAUUGAUUAAUCAACCAAUCAUUGCAGCUCUAAAUAAAAUAUACUAUGAAUUUAAGUUGUAUUUAAUCAGGACAUCAGUUUUAAUUCCUGACCUCCUGUGUCAACCAGGAGGAAGGAUGAUAAACCUCCCAAACUCUUCUUCUUCUUCUGUGGUUUCUGGUGUGUUCAGGAGGAAGUAAAAGGGCUGUGACCCUCCGUCAUCACAGAAAUGUCACAUUGCUGAUGUUUGUACUUCACCUCUGCCAAACUGCCUCUCGCUCCGAGUGAGGGCGUCUUCUUCAUCGUUGGUGCUACAAACCGCAGGGCCGCCGCCGCCGCUGCCGUCGCCGUCGGCCCGCGCUGUUUUCCAUCCUGUAAUCGCAGAUUUGUAUAAAAAACAUUUUUGUCGACGCUCAUAUCGAGGUGUGAUCACUCUGAAUGCAGCUGAGUGUGUUUCUGAGUGUGUUGUUGUCUCCCUCCGUCCUGUGACAACGAGCUUCAGGUCGGUUAAAGUGACGCUGUGACAUUUUUUGACCGUUAAAAUCAUUCAUGUUGCAUGAUGGGAGAGUUAAGCUUUAGCACUCGCCAUGAAGCGAGUGCAGCUGAGCUUAUACGCUCGCUGCUGCAGCACUCCCCAAUAUUUCUAAUUAAAUGAGCACUAAUGAUGCUAAUAUGUUGUUUUUUAUCACUAAAGUGAAUAAUAUGUACAAUCUUGCCACUCAAUAGAAAAAACGUUUCAACUAAAAUGUCUCGGCCUCCCUUUAACCGCUGAGUCUCGGCCCUUUUCAGACAGAACUGAAACAAAUGAAAAGUUGCACUGUUAAAAAGUUAAAACAAGAGAAAGUCCUUGUAUGUUAUGAAUUUAUUGUUAUAUGCAUUGAGAAAAUACAUCAAGUAUUUAUGAGUGAUGUAACCUUCUGCUUUACGCUUGCACUCGGCUGGAGAAUUUUUAUCUCAAGAAUUUGGUCAGAAUAAUAAUCCUAGUUUGAAUUGUUGAGUUGAGAGCUUAGCAGUAUGAAUAAAGAGGAAAAACAUUCUGUUAUAUUAAAGUUGCAGUAACUGGAGCGAUCUGGAGAGAUUUAAACUACACAGACAGUUGAAAGCAACAUUUCAUUUGAUGGACGACGUCUACAGCAGCAGGAAGCUGAACCACGUCUGAAUGAAUCAGUGUAGAUCAAACAAACUAGUUUAUCUGACGUGAGGUGUCACAUGACUUGAAUCUGGAGACUUUAGACUCGACAAAAUUAUAAAAGACCUUCAGCUCAACUUUGACUUAAAACUUGUCUUGACUCGUGACUUUGUGUGCAGCCAAUAAACAGUUAAUGUUCCUGACAACAGAUACUUUGAAUCAGUCCAACAGCAGCCAGUUAUGUUGCAGAGCAGGACGGAAAAUUGCAUUCAACAAAGUACAGAACCUGGACUUCACUUGGGACUUGUCCUGACUCAGGACUUAAUGUAGGACUUGUUGGUCGACUCAGGACUUAAUGUAGGACUCGUUUGUCGACUCAGGACUUAAUGUAGGACUCGUUGGUCGACUCAGGACUUAAUGUAGGACUCAUUAGUCUUGACUCAGGACUUAAUGUAGGACUCAUUGGUCUUGACUCAGGACUUAAUGUAGGACUCAUUAGUCUUGACUCAGGUCUUAAUGUAGGACUCGUUGGUCGACUCAGGACUUAAUGUAGGACUCGUUGGUCGACUCAGGACUUAAUGUAGGACUCGUUUGUCGACUCAGGACUUAAUGUAGGACUCGUUGGUCUUGACUCAGGACUUAAUGUAGGACUCAUUGGUCUUGACUCAGGACUUAAUGUAGGACUCAUUAGUCUUGACUCAGGUCUUAAUGUAGGACUCGUUGGUCGACUCAGGACUUAAUGUAGGACUCGUUGGUCGACUCAGGACUUAAUGUAGGACUCGUUGGUCGACUCAGGACUUAGUGUAGGACUCGGUCGACUCAGGACUUAAUGUAGGACUCGUUUGUCGACUCAGGACUUAAUGUAGGACUCGUUGGUCUUGACUCAGGACUUAAUCUAGGACUCGUUAGUCCUGACUCAGGACUUAAUGUAGGACUCGUUGGUCGACUCAGGACUUAAUGUAGGACUUGUUGGUCUUGAUGUGGGACUUGAUUCAAGAUUUGUUGGAUUUGACUUGGAACUUGUUAUUAACUUGGGACUUUCUGUGGGACUCGUUAGUCUUGACUCGAGACUGUCUUGAUGAGACUUUUUUGUCUUGACUUGGGACAUAAUUUGGAACUUGUUUUUCUUGAGGUUUGACACCCAGCCCAGCGACCUUGAAGUUGACAUUGAUGUAGGUCUUGUUAGUCUUGACUCAGGAAAUGACUCGUGACUAGUUGGUCUGGACUUGGGUCAGGUGACACUGAACAUGGUCUUCCUUUGAAGCAUGCUGAGGCAUCAAUGCUUCCUGAUUCUUGAACGUCUAAAGUAAUGAACCUGAAGCAGUUUUUUUACUAAGGCCUAAAAUGGCUAGAAGUGUAUCUUUAACUUCCUGACAGUUUAUUAGUUCAAACACCCGUAAAACCCCCAAGGAAUUACAGGGAGCUGGUCCACUGGUCCACUGGUCUGUUGAGGUCUGUUGAGGUCUGAUGAGGAGCAGUGUGUAUCUUAGACCGGAUAUCAAAGUGAAAUGUUGCUUUUAGCGUCUUGUGAAUCUACAGUCGAGGUAAAAGGUUCAGAGUGAAAACAAAGCAGCUGUUUUCCCUUUGCAGGACCUGCUGGGUUGAACUGGGCAAACUGGAAAUAUGAAAUAACUUUGUAAAAGAUCUGGACAUGAAAGGAUGUGAACGAGAUCUAAAAGGAACUCAAGAAAGGAUUCAGUGCACGUCAGAGGAAGUCAAAGUUUUGACCAGUUUGAUCCACUAACUGGGCUAACUGGAUAUUUUCUGCAGUAACUGUGGGUUUGUUAAAGGACUUGAAGUUCAGCAGCUUUUUGUAAUCUUCAUCUAGAAGGAGUUUGAGAAAAGGUUAAAGGGAUGUCACAGAUGGCAUGAAACCCCAGUUUGGUUAUUAAACUGGGCGGACUGGAAAUUCCUUCAAAAACUAUGUAAAUGUUUGGAAGGAGCCUGAAAGAUGAGCAGACUGCUGAAGUGAAGAUCCAAAAUAAAUUUGAGAAGCAGUUCGUUGAUGGUAGCUAAUUGGCUUGUGUAGGGACACUGGACAUGUGGAGUCUCCUGCAGAAAUAUCUAGAAGCCUGGAAAAAUCUUGAAAUUCAGGAGCACUUGUAAAGUUAGCCUCUAUAAGGAGUUUGAGGAAUGAUUUAGAAGAAGUUGUGAUGGCAAGAAGCUCCAGUGGCUCAAUUUAGCCUUUUAACUGGAGCAACUGGAGCAGUUGGACUCUGUAGAGUUUCCUUCGAGAUCUGUGUGAACAUUUGGAAGAAGCCUGGAAGUCGAGAUUCAAAAGGAGUCAGGGAAGUUGUCCAUGGCAGGUCAAUAAUGGGACUUUGGUCUGCAAACUGGACUUUUGCAAAGUUCUAAAUAUCCAGAUGUUUAGCAGAACUCUGAAAGAUCAGAACUAAAGGGAGUUUCAGAAAUUGUUUAGAGCAACUCAAAGAAGACAAGAAGCUCCAGUUCGACUCAAAAGUUUCCUUCUGAAUCUCAGUGAAGAUUACUGGCAGCGCUCUGGAAGUCAAAGAUCCAAAUAGAAACCAGAAUAUGGUUCAUGAGGAGUCACUGAUGGGCAGAUAAGUGAUAAAUAAAUAAAUCGGCUCAUUGGACGUGUUGAGUUUCUUGCAGAAACUGUAAGAAGUUUGGAAGUUCAUCAGUUCUGUGAAAGUCAUGUUCUAAAGGGAAUUUGAGGAAUGGUUUAGUUCAAGUCGGCCCCAGUUUGGCUCUAUUUGGCCCUUUAACUGGACCGACUGGGCCAGCUGGAGAUUUCUUUAAAUUCCGUGUGAACAUUUGGAAGAAGGUUGGAAGAUCAGCAGCAGUUUGGAAGUCAGGAUCCAAAAGAAAAACAAAGGAAUGGUUCAUGGGAAGUCAGAAGUUGUUGAGCUUAGUGGGUUAACUGGAUAUGUGGAGUCCCUGCAGAAGGUUUGUAAAAACUUGAAUAAACUCUGAGAUCCAGAAGGGGUUUGAGAAAUGGUUUAUAAGAAGCCAAGAAGCCCCAGUAUGGCCCUUCAACUGGACACAACCCCAGUUUAACUGGACAUGUUUCCUGUUUCCUUUAUUGGUAUAAAUGUUUGGAAGAAGCCUGGGAGAUUGGCAGAACUGUGGAGGCAAGUAUGUAAAAGGAGUCUGAGAAAUGGUUCAGUUAGGUCCAGUUUGGCCCACUUCUCAGGCUAACUGGGAUAACUGGAUAUGUGGAGCUCCCUGCAGAAGCUGUGUAAAAAGUCUGGAGGCCUGGUUGGACUGUGGAAGUAAAGUUCUAAAAGACGUUUGACAAAGCCAGUGAAGACAAGAAAACACCAGUUUGGCCCAGUUUGGCCCAGUUUGGCCCUGCAUUAGGAACCUGACUUUGAGGGUUGAGGUGGUUGUGGGAAUCUUUUCACUGUGGAGCUGUGUUGCUCAAAAAAACAAAACCAGAAACGGGUCAGAUAAUCAAAGAUAAAAGGAUCGGGAUUCGGGUAGCGGUGCGUCGACCUUAAAGGAUCAGACUCAAUGACAUAACGUCCUCUGAUGUCACUUCCUGUACUGGAUCCAUCUGCGGUGCGUGAAGCUGCUGCGAGCAUCCCUUUUAACUUCAGCAUAUUGUUGCUAAAUUAAUUGUCGUACCUUCAUCUGAUGUCAUUUCACUGUGAUCUAAAGAUGUCCAACAUUAAUAUGAUUUAUUGAAGUUAAAUGAUGCUCAAAGCCUUUUAAACACGACUCAUCACAGACUUUUAAACUCAAACUGUUAACCGCAUUAAAAGCUUUUAGACGGCACACAGGUAAACAGGAAGUGUGUCUGAUGAUUUUCAGCAUAUUGAAGCCUUUGUUCUUCAGGGAUUUGGCUCGUUUGAAGUCACGUCAGAGUCGUCACAGUCAAAUUAAUCAAGAUGUUUUCAAACAGCUCGAUUCAUGUGACUGACGAGUCUCUGAAUGACCCAGAAGAGCUUAAAAUACCUGAACUCACAACCAAUCAGAAGAGAAUAAAGCAAGAAAUUCACUUUCCUUUGAUUUGAUUUAUUUUGAAGAAACAAAGAAAUACAUAAAACCACUUUUAUUGAACUUAUUCUCGCUGCAACACAAAGAAAAGUGUUUAAAUUCUAAAAAAAAAAAAAAAGAAAGAAAAAAGGAUUUGAUGAACUUGUGAUGACGUCUUGAUGAUUGAAGGUGAAUCGAAGGUUCAGGUGACGAGAUGACGAGACGUUUGUACGACUGAGCUGAUCCUGGUCAAACACUGCAGUUAAUGUGAUGAUGAUGAUGAUGAUGAUGAUGAUGAUGGUUCACUCCCAGUUUAAACUGAAAGUAGCUCUGUUUGCUUGUCAGAAACCCACUCAGGAGGUUCCAGGAUUUAUUUUUCCUGUUUCCAGCUCAGUUUAAGACAUUUGAAAUCCUAAAAAUACAGAAAAAUGUGAAUUUGUGUUGAUAUUAAAGAGAAACGUUCAGACUUUUUGCCCUGAGUGGAGCCUUCCAGGCGCUGCUACCUCUCAGACUCAGGAACUCUGGGUAAUGAAGUCCUCCACAGACUCUGAGCAGGAUUCUGACAUCAAACAGCAACAUUUAGAGCUUCAUGCUGCCAUUUUCUGUUCUUUCUGUACAAAUAAGAGAAUCACAAUCAAGUUGUUUUUUGCCAUCAAUGUUUUUACUAAAUCUAUAAAAUGCUUAUUGUUAAUUUAUCUUCUGUUUUGUUUGUUCUUGUUGUUGUCUGUCUUUGCUAUUUCAUGCGAUUGUACAGCUUGUUGAUGUGCAGAUUUUAUUAUUAUUAUUGUUGUUAUUGUUGUUUAAAGUAUCUUUGCUUUGUGGAAGAUGCUGCCGGCUUCCUGCAUGGUUUUCCUGUGAAUGUUUGUCUGUUUUUGUAUUUUAUUAACUUUAAAAUUUUGGAGAAAAA